RNAcentral lists this long non-coding RNA (346 nucleotides) under Triticum aestivum (bread wheat). Its description in RNAcentral is "long non-coding RNA (TAES_LNC026206)". Lineage: Eukaryota; Viridiplantae; Streptophyta; Magnoliopsida; Poales; Poaceae. The record is from RNAcentral.
UACAUGCGCCCAUCCAGGUCCUACAUUGUCAGUAACACAUGCAUGUGUAUCUUGUCAAAUCGACGAGGUUAUUAUAUGGAACUCAUCAGGAAUUACAAAUUAUCUAUCCUGAAUUCUUGAUGAUACCUGAGAAGAUGGGGUGAUCUAUAUAUGGACUGGCCAAGAAUGCUAUAAUGGUCUAAUUGUUCGUUUACUCGGAAGAAUAAUAACUGUGGAGAGAGAGAGAGAGAGAGAGAGAGAGAGAGAGAGAGAGAGAGAGAGGUGUACAAGAGGUGGAGUGGUACCAAUUGCACAGCUAGCCAUGCACGGGUGCAUGCACUGUUGCCGCGCACGCGCUUCCCUUGAU